Molecule: ribosomal RNA, 615 nt
Filed under: Aspergillus pseudoelegans
Lineage: Eukaryota; Fungi; Ascomycota; Eurotiomycetes; Eurotiales; Aspergillaceae
Description: eukaryotic LSU rRNA
Rfam family: Eukaryotic large subunit ribosomal RNA
Source: RNAcentral
GAUACCCGCUGAACUUAAGCAUAUCAAUAAGCGGAGGAAAAGAAACCAACCGGGAUUGCCUCAGUAACGGCGAGUGAAGCGGCAAGAGCUCAAAUUUGAAAUCUGGCCCCCUCGGGGCUCCGAGUUGUAAUUUGCAGAGGAUGCUUCGGGUGCGGCCCCCGUCUAAGUGCCCUGGAACGGGCCGUCAUAGAGGGUGAGAAUCCCGUCUGGGACGGGGUGUCCGUGCCCGUGUGAAGCUCCUUCGACGAGUCGAGUUGUUUGGGAAUGCAGCUCUAAAUGGGUGGUAAAUUUCAUCUAAAGCUAAAUACUGGCCGGAGACCGAUAGCGCACAAGUAGAGUGAUCGAAAGAUGAAAAGCACUUUGAAAAGAGAGUUAAAUAGCACGUGAAAUUGUUGAAAGGGAAGCGCUUGCGACCAGACUCGCCCGCGGGGUUCAGCCGGCAUUCGUGCCGGUGGACUUCCCCGUGGGCGGGCCAGCGUCGGUUUGGGCGGCCGGUCAAAGGCCCCCGGAAUGUAGUGCCCUUCGGGGCACCUUAUAGCCGGGGGUGCAAUGCGGCCAGCCUGGACCGAGGAACGCGCUUCGGCACGGACGCUGGCAUAAUGGUUGCAAACGACC